This 1883-nucleotide unclassified non-coding RNA is filed under the name Leishmania donovani. Its description in RNAcentral is "gene:unknown". Lineage: Eukaryota; Euglenozoa; Kinetoplastea; Trypanosomatida; Trypanosomatidae. The record is from RNAcentral.
GUGUGUUGGAUCUUCUCUUACAUCUUCAUUCUUGUCUCCGUCUUGUUGAAUCCGCCGCCCCCUCCACCUUAACCUCCGUGCGUCGUGGCUACUGACUAGCAACACCACCCCCUCCGCCCACUUCUCUCCCAGGGCGAGAGAGAGCGAGCGAGCGAGACAUAAACACACACGAGAACACACACACACACACACACACACACACGCAUGCAGAAAGGGCACUUAUGGGCGCGUACCAUGUGCAUAUUUCUGACACGACGUUGGUAGACCCGUUUAACACCCUCCUCUUCUUCCCAUCCAAAGCGCCGCCUCAGUGAGCGGGUACACACAAACACACAGAAUCCCCUCUCCUCCCCUCCCCUCCUCCUCGCACCCACGGAUCUUUACUCGUCCCUCGCCUCCGCUUUUCCUUCUCUCCUCCUGUGUUCCGCUUCCAUGUGGAUGGGCGGGUGGAUGCCACUGUUCUCCUCAACCACCUCGGCUUCUUCGUCUCCCCUUUUGUUUUUCUGUGUGUGCGUAUAUAUAUGUGUGUGCGUACGUCGUUCUCACACGGCCACCCCCGGAGAGCUGCCUGGCUUUCUUCGCUUGCCGUGGGCUCGUUCUUGCGUGUUCUACUCCGCUGCUGCUGCGUGAUGUCUUGCUCCGCAUAUCUUGCCUACUUGCCCGCGGGCAUGUGAAGGACUUACUGCUGCGUGAUGAUUGCACCCCGUGUGCGCGCUUCGGUGCUUGAGGCGAAGAUGAUGAUGCACCUCGACGCAGGAAAUCGGAGUUACAGAAUGGACUCGUUGUGGCUCAGGUAAAUAGAAUGCGAAACGAAACCGUUGUUGCGCUAAUGCGUACUCCUGCAUGUGAGAGAAAAGGAGAGAUGGAGAACGGCCAACAUGUGAGGCGUUGCAAUGGACGGGGUCUGUGGACUUGCUUCGUUUUGUGUUGCUGUUGCCUCCCUUUCCCCCUUCCUUGGCCCUCUUUUUCUUUUCUCUAUCUCACUGCCCUCCCCCCGUGCCGCCUUUUCCAUGCAUCAUCCUCCGCCGUGUGCGCACGUGUGCCUCUCACCCUUUCCACACUGUGCCGCUCUUCUCUCUGUGCGCAUUGGAAGAACCCACCACCACCGCCGUUUCUUUUCCUUGGCGUUCUCCUGCGCUGUCGUUCUGCUUUCAACGGCUGCGAUGUGUCGUGCUCUUUGUUGUCGUUUCGCGUCUAUAUUUUUCGGCUCUCUUCUUAUUCCUUUCCAGCCAUGGGAACGACGCUUCUCGCCUCCUUCUCUCUCCCAUCAUCUCAUUUCCGUUUCCUCUUUUGUUGCUCUUCCUCCUAGACCAGUUGUGCCACGACUUCCGCCCAGCCUGCCCCCCAAACCCCCGAAUCUCUCUCUCAUCUCCCUUCGUCUCUUUUUGAUGUCUAUCUUGCUCUCCUUGUUCUCUCUUUUUCGCGGCUUCGCUGCUCUGCCCGGCGACAGUGGGUGAUGUCUAUGAAGACGGAAAACUGCGGCGGGCAGCCGAGACCGCUGCUCUCUUGAUGUUGUGAAUGCUGGCUCGGUGACAGAGAGACGAGGAGGAGAUACAAGCGAGUAGUGUAUGCUCACGUCUUUGUAUAACGACGUCCUGCACCUGAGUUCGCCUCUUCACACAGCCCACCAUCACGUCUCUGGUUUUCGAGUCUGCAUCGGCCGAGCCCUCUUUUGGUUGGCCCGUAUACGGGCAUUCUUUGCCCGCCGCUGACAAGCGAGGGCUCGUUGUGAGAUUGGUGGUGUGCUGCGUGUCUGUGUUGCUCUCUUCUUUUGGUUUUCUCUGUUCCAUUCUCUCGGUGCGUGACUAUCUGUGUCCCGAUUUCGAGCUCACGAGGGUGAGGUCUCACUCCCGGCAGACAACCCGGCCGGAGAUGACGAUGAC